UUCAGUGAAUCAUUGAAUCUUUGAACGCACCUUGCACCUUUUGGUAUUCCAAAAGGUACACCUGUUUGAGUGUCAU
Molecule: ribosomal RNA, 76 nt
Filed under: Puccinia dianellae
Lineage: Eukaryota; Fungi; Basidiomycota; Pucciniomycetes; Pucciniales; Pucciniaceae
Also listed under: 1 other name
Description: partial 5.8S ribosomal RNA
Rfam family: 5.8S ribosomal RNA
About the family: 5.8S ribosomal RNA (5.8S rRNA) is a component of the large subunit of the eukaryotic ribosome. It is transcribed by RNA polymerase I as part of the 45S precursor that also contains 18S and 28S rRNA.
Source: RNAcentral